RNAcentral lists this ribosomal RNA (450 nucleotides) under uncultured bacterium. RNAcentral's name for it is "bacterial SSU rRNA". It matches the Rfam family "Bacterial small subunit ribosomal RNA", at positions 354 to 796 of the family's 1533-position model. The record is from RNAcentral.
GUGGGGAAUAUUGGACAAUGGGCGCAAGCCUGAUCCAGCCAUACCGCGUGGGUGAAGAAGGCCUUCGGGUUGUAAAGCCCUUUUGUUGGGAAAGAAAUCCUGUCGGUUAAUACCUGGCGGGGAUGACGGUACCCAAAGAAUAAGCACCGGCUAACUUCGUGCCAGCAGCCGCGGUAAUACGAAGGGUGCAAGCGUUACUCGGAAUUACUGGGCGUAAAGUGUGCGUAGGUGGUGGUUUAAGUCCGUUGUGAAAGCCCUGGGCUCAACCUGGGAAUUGCAGUGGAUACUGGAUAACUAGAGUGUGGUAGAGGGAUGCGGAAUUUCUGGUGUAGCAGUGAAAUGCGUAGAGAUCAGAAGGAACAUCCGUGGCGAAGGCGGCAUCCUGGGCCAACACUGACACUGAGGCACGAAAGCGUGGGGAGCAAACAGGAUUAGAAACCCGGGUAGUCC